RNAcentral lists this ribosomal RNA (254 nucleotides) under uncultured bacterium. Its description in RNAcentral is "partial 16S ribosomal RNA". It matches the Rfam family "Bacterial small subunit ribosomal RNA", at positions 524 to 776 of the family's 1533-position model. The record is from RNAcentral.
UACGUAGGGUGCGAGCGUUGAUCCGGAAUUAUUGGGCGUAAAGAGCUCGUAGGCGGUUUGUCACGUCUGCUGUGAAAACUGGAGGCUCAACCUCCAGCCUGCAGUGGGUACGGGCAGACUAGAGUGCGGUAGGGGAGACUGGAAUUCCUGGUGUAGCGGUGGAAUGCGCAGAUAUCAGGAGGAACACCAAUAGCGAAGGCAGCUCGCUGGGACGUUACUGACACUGAGGCGCGAAAGCGUGGGGAGCGAACAGG